CAUAUUUCCUUCAGAAAACAAAGAGAAACUCACAUAGUCUUUGUGUCUCUUCUCCUGCAAUCCUUCAAAUGAUUCCAUCUUCCGAUUAUUCCACAAAAAUGACUGUAAAUCUCUGGUCAGAGGUCAAGAUCCUUCACAUCAUAGCUGUGUCCCAAACUUAAGUGCAUGGACUCCGAAGUGCGCAUUUGAAGUGCGAAUGCGUCACAAUGGCGCGACGAAGGAUGUCCCAAACUGAAGUGUGUGGACUCCGAAGUGCGGAUGUGAAAUGCGAUUGCGUCACAGCGUCACGAAGUAAGCUGUCCCAAAGUCAGAAUGCGCACUUCGAAGACCGCAUUUGAAGUGCGAAUGCGUCACCGCGCCGCGACGAAUGCUGACGAGUUUCGAAAGCGACUUCAAAUGCGCCCUUCAUUUCCCAGGAAAAUGAAGUGUACAUCUUAUGGACACUUCGCACCCUGCCAUAUCCCAGAAUCACUUGCGUGCAUAUGACGAAGCUGUUUAUAUUCAGAGGCAGGUGAGAGUUCUGUGGAGGACUUCACAUUAAAAUGCAUGGUUUAUUUGUGAAGUGUCCUGAGACAGGUGAGGGAGCGAGUGGACAGGGAGGACAUCAAACUCAAACAAAUACAUUCUUCAUUAGCCAAGAGAAAACAGUGGGAAAAAAUGAGAGGUCAAUCUCUUGGUGAAUGGCCAGCACCUCCUCAGAGACUCAGAGGACGAUGCGGUGACAGUGGAACGAGGGACAUGUCAAACACUCUGGAGACCAUCUGUAUGAUGUACCGCUGGCAGACAGAAGAGAAACACCAGGGUCUGGAUCGUGGCACACCAUCACUGUUGCCCUUCACUUCCCAGAAGAUCCAGCAGCACAGUCAGGGUCUCCCUGCUCAGAACAAAACCAUUAAACACCUGUCCAGCGCUGACACAUUCAGCUCUAUCCUGCAGUACAGGGGUCUGGUCUGAUUUAGGGAAAGAAGGAAAAGAGAAA
Long non-coding RNA from Cyprinus carpio carpio, 979 nucleotides. The record is from Ensembl. Lineage: Eukaryota; Metazoa; Chordata; Actinopteri; Cypriniformes; Cyprinidae.